GACGAACGCUGGCGGCGUGCCUAAUACAUGCAAGUAGAACGCUGAAGGAGGAGCUUGCUUCUCUGGAUGAGUUGCGAACGGGUGAGUAACGCGUAGGUAACCUGCCUGGUAGCGGGGGAUAACUAUUGGAAACGAUAGCUAAUACCGCAUAAUAGUAGAUGUUGCAUGACAUUUGCUUAAAAGGUGCAAUUGCAUCACUACCAGAUGGACCUGCGUUGUAUUAGCUAGUUGGUGAGGUAACGGCUCACCAAGGCGACGAUACAUAGCCGACCUGAGAGGGUGAUCGGCCAAACUGGGACUGAGACACGGCCCAGACUCCUACGGGAGGCAGCAGUAGGGAAUCUUCGGCAAUGGACGGAAGUCUGACCGAGCAACGCCGCGUGAGUGAAGAAGGUUUUCGGAUCGUAAAGCUCUGUUGUAAGAGAAGAACGAGUGUGAGAGUGGAAAGUUCACACUGUGACGGUAUCUUACCAGAAAGGGACGGCUAACUACGUG
Molecule: ribosomal RNA, 495 nt
Filed under: uncultured bacterium
Lineage: Bacteria
Description: partial 16S ribosomal RNA
Rfam family: Bacterial small subunit ribosomal RNA
Source: RNAcentral